UUAAAUUAAAGAUCAAAUGCAAUUUCUACUCAUUUAUCCGAAGUGAAUCCCCGAUGCUCUAGUGUUCGUCUCAAUCGUAUUUCCACCAACCGUUCAUUACUCAUAGAAUAGUUUAUUUCCUUCCAAUUCCCUGUGGUUCGACCUCGGACUUCCGAGAUUUACUACUUGCAACAACCUGCACUUGGGUUUGCAACCUUAAAGUUGUAGCAA
This 210-nucleotide long non-coding RNA is filed under the name Olea europaea (common olive). RNAcentral describes it as "long non-coding RNA (OEUR_LNC005291)". Lineage: Eukaryota; Viridiplantae; Streptophyta; Magnoliopsida; Lamiales; Oleaceae. The record is from RNAcentral.